Molecule: ribosomal RNA, 207 nt
Filed under: uncultured bacterium
Lineage: Bacteria
Description: partial 16S ribosomal RNA
Rfam family: Bacterial small subunit ribosomal RNA
Source: RNAcentral
CGUGCAGGCGGGUUGGUAAGCCAGAUGUGAAAGCCCUGGGCUCAACCCAGGAAGUGCAUUUGAAACUGCCAUCCUUGAGUAUGGGAGAGGAGAGUGGAAUUCCCAAUGUAGAGGUGAAAUUCGUAGAUAUUGGGAGGAACGCCCGUGGCGAAGGCGACUCUCUGGACCAAUACUGACGCUGAGACGCGAAAGCGUGGGGAGCAAACA